This 349-nucleotide ribosomal RNA is filed under the name uncultured bacterium. Its description in RNAcentral is "bacterial SSU rRNA". It matches the Rfam family "Bacterial small subunit ribosomal RNA", at positions 917 to 1264 of the family's 1533-position model. The record is from RNAcentral.
GGGCCCGCACAAGCGGUGGAGCAUGUGGCUUAAUUCGAGGCAACGCGAAGAACCUUACCCCGGGGUUUGACAUUGAGCGCCGAUCCCCUGAAAGGGGAUUUUCCUUCGGGACGCAAAAACAGGUGCUGCAUGGCUGUCGUCAGCUCGUGCUGUGAAGUGUUCGGUUAAGUCCGGCAACGAGCGCAACCCAUACCCUUACUUGCUAACAGGUAAUGCUGAGAACCUUAAGGGGACUGCCCGUGUUAAGCGGGAGGAAGGUGUGGACGACGUCAAGUCAGUAUGGCCCUUACACCGGGGCUGCACACGUGCUACAAUGGCCGGUACAAAGGGCAGCGACGAUAGUGAUAUG